RNAcentral lists this ribosomal RNA (681 nucleotides) under Pholcus kribi. RNAcentral describes it as "partial 28S ribosomal RNA". It matches the Rfam family "Eukaryotic large subunit ribosomal RNA", at positions 354 to 915 of the family's 3401-position model. Lineage: Eukaryota; Metazoa; Arthropoda; Arachnida; Araneae; Pholcidae. The record is from RNAcentral.
UGAGGGAAAGUUGAAAAGAACUUUGAAGAGAGAGUUCAAGAGUGCGUGAAACUGCUCGGAGGUAAACGGGUGGGCCCUCGAAUGGUCCUCGCCUGGUGGUUCGGUCGGACAGGCGCGAGCUCGACGGUGCGAGGGGAUACCGCGGUGUACCUCUCCGCUUCGCGGUGCUCUCUGUCUUCCGGCGCAUUCCAUCCGGCACGGACGUCGCAGCCGGUUGGUGGUCGGCCAAGAGAGCGGACGACGGAAGGUGGCAGCGGAGUCUCUCCGUUGUGUUUAGCCGGUUCGCUUGUGGCGUGAUCUCCGACCGAGGAUGCGUCUCUUUCUUGAGACAUGCCGUGCUCUCGCUCGUGCGAGCGAGCGGGAUUCCCCGCGGCGAGCGUAGGCGGCUGGCGAUAUCGGUUACCCACCCGACCCGUCUCGAAACACGGACCAAGGAGUCCAACGUGUGCGCGAGUCAGUGGGACUCGAACAAGCCCACGGGCAGAACGAAAGCGAGAUCUGUCGGGAUCCGCACCGMUCGCGGUGCGGCGCACCGACGGCCUGACGCUCGGGCGUCGGAGCAGGAGCGUACACGUCGGGACCCGAAAGACGGUGAACUAUUCCCGGGUAGGAUGAAGCCGGGGGAAACUCCGGUGGAGGUCCGCAGCGGUUCUGACGUGCAAUUCGAUCGUCGAACCCGGG